Molecule: ribosomal RNA, 254 nt
Filed under: uncultured bacterium
Lineage: Bacteria
Description: partial 16S ribosomal RNA
Rfam family: Bacterial small subunit ribosomal RNA
Source: RNAcentral
UACAGAGGGGGCAAGCGUUAUUCGGAAUUAUUGGGCGUAAAGGGCGCGUAGGCGGCCAUUCAAGUGACGGGUGAAAGCCCUCGGCUUAACCGAGGAACUGCCUGUCAGACUGGAUGGCUUGAGACCGGGAGAGGUGAGUGGAAUUCCCAGUGUAGCGGUGAAAUGCGUAGAUAUUGGGAGGAACACCAAUUGCGAAGGCAGCUCGCUGGGACGUUACUGACGCUGAGACGCGAAAAGCGUGGGGAGCAAACAGG